Molecule: long non-coding RNA, 705 nt
Organism: Carassius auratus (goldfish)
Lineage: Eukaryota; Metazoa; Chordata; Actinopteri; Cypriniformes; Cyprinidae
Exons: 4
Source: RefSeq, a predicted model, not a curated record
GGAAGAAUUGGACAAUCCAAAUGAUUAUUAAUGUACCUAUCAUACGUACGCUUAUCCAUGCAUACGUUAUCCAGACAUUUAUCCACACGUAUGUUAUCAAGACACAAAGUUUAAAAAAUGCAAAAAGUUCACCUCUUAUCACCUAACAGUGCUCAUUUAAAUGCUGUUUAAAUAUUGAAUGUGGAAAGCAUGUGAAUUCUGAACCAUUUGGCUUUCCAUAGAACACACCCUGAGCAGCUCUGACAUCACUGUAGUUCAGUGAGAGACUCCGAGAAAGUGAAACUAACUUGAUCAACAACAUGGACGCCUGAAACCAUCGAACUCUUUAAACAACUGAAUAUUGAGUCGUUCAGAGACACUUGUGAACACAUCUGAUACUCACAGCAGGUCAUAGUUCAGAUUGCUCAGUUUUAAGAGGGAAAGAACAAUGGCAGAAUCUUCACUAACAGCAAGAAAAACCAGGAGACGGAGUAAUGAACAUGAUCAUCCAUCAAUGUCAUCCUCCAUGAGUUCACUGUCUGAGGAGAUUCAGUGCUCUGUGUGUCUGGAUGUGUUCACUGAUCCAGUCUCGACUCCAUGUGGACACAACUUCUGCAAGAUCUGUCUGAAUAAGUGCUGGGACAACAGCCAGACCUGCAGCUGUCCAUACUGUAACGAAACAUUCAAGCAAAGACCUGAUCUCAAGAUUAAUACCACACUCCGAGA